This 200-nucleotide unclassified non-coding RNA is filed under the name uncultured Russula. RNAcentral describes it as "sequence contains ITS1". Lineage: Eukaryota; Fungi; Basidiomycota; Agaricomycetes; Russulales; Russulaceae. The record is from RNAcentral.
UCGUAUAACCGAGGUACUAGGGCUGUCGCUAACUUUGUGCACGCCCUGGUACUCUCUCACAAAAUCCAUCUCACCCCCUUUGUGCAUCACCGCGUGGGUGCUCUCCUUUUGGUUCGUUCCGAAAGGGGGCAUUUGCGUUUUUAUACAAAACCACUGCAUGUGUAGAAUGUCUUACUAUUUGCGAUAAUGCGCAAUCAAUA